UCUUGGAAUUUGAACCUGGCAUUUUUGCUUGGGUUCUAAUUCUAAGAAAGAGAACCUGCCUGCUUCAAACAACACGCAAAUUAAGGUGUGACUUUUGGCUCCAUUUUUUGUUAUAUAUAGCUAUCAUCUGCUCUGGAAUAAGCUGGAUUUCUUCCACUGAGUUCAUAUCUCCUUCUGUCUUUUUUGAAAUGCAUUUUAAAGCCUCAUGUUUCUUUCUGGAAAAUCUACCAUAAUGUAACAACAGAUUUUAAAUCUUAUAUGUAUAUUAAUCAGGAUGCCAACAACCACAAUCUAAUACAGUCCUUACCUUUUACUGACAACGUGAAUUUUAAUUAAGUGCAUAAUUAAGAUCUGAAAUGCAGAAUGUAUUUUUGGUCCUGUUUACUGUGUGCAAGAAACUCUAACAUGGAAUAAAGUUGGCCUCCCUGCUACAAAGACUCAACGUAUUACAAAACAAGUGAAUGGCAGCUACAACUGGGUUUUCAAAGACAAGAAACAAGCUUGAUGUUCAUCAAGGCCGUGAGAGAUGUACAUCCAUAGCAUGCUUCCAUGUGCUUCCCUCAAAAGAACACAGGUGGCAACGAUGAACCAGACUUGAGAGCGACAAGGGCAACACUCCGGGAGAUGGUACAGCCCCAAGAAAGAAGGAAUCUAGAUGAGCAUCAUGGAGUUCCCCUGAGCGCCUAUGACCCAGGUUUCAGAUGAGAUACAAUGACCUGGGUCAAGGUAUGAUAAAGUGAGGGUAAAAGCUGUAAAGUGAGGAUGAUAAUGGAACUACAUUCGUUGGAGCAACUCUAGCUGAUGUCAUAAACUGAUGCAAAAAAAAAAAAAAAAAAAAAAAACAUGAAAAGGCUCAAACACAAUUGGCACUUAUUUCUUGCUGAUGCGGCAGUGCUGAAUGGUUCCGGAAGGGCGUGACUGUGGUUGGGCAAGCAGGAAUCUCGGCUCCCUGCUAUCACUCAGGGCCAGGAAGAUAGAGUGCUGCCAUCUUUAAGAGGCAUCUCCCUGCAAGAGGAAGAACCAUGGAAGAUCACAUAGAUAUUUUUAUGGGCCAGGCCUGGAAGUGGCCCAAAUUACCUCUAUUAACAUUCUGUUGGCUAGAAUAUCAUACGGCCACACCGCACCACAAGAAAGGCUAGGGAAUGUAGCACAGCUAUAGCCCAGGAAUAGUUCUGGACAGUUAGAAUUCUCUGGCACGAGUGCUAUGUUAGCCCCUGGAGGGCAAAGAAGAUUUUUGUCUAUUUUUUUCCAGUCCUGUGUUCCAAGUAUCUAGAACCAGGGUUAGCAAACCUUUUCCAUAAGAGGCUAGAUAGGAAAUAUCUAGCUUUUGUGGGCCACACAGUCUCCAACACAACUAAUCAUCUCUGCUGUGGUAGCAUCAUACAGAUGUGAAUGCGUGAGGAUGGCUGUGUUCCAAUAAAACUUUAUUUACAUAAACGGGCA
This 1443-nucleotide long non-coding RNA is filed under the name Sus scrofa (pig). RNAcentral describes it as "lncRNA (ENSSSCG00070018136.1)". The record is from RNAcentral. Lineage: Eukaryota; Metazoa; Chordata; Mammalia; Artiodactyla; Suidae.